GACGAACGCUGGCGGCGUGCUUAACACAUGCAAGUCGAACGAAGAGCGAUGGAAGCUUGCUUCUAUCACUCUUAGUGGCGCACGGGUGAGUAACGCGUAAUCAACCUGCCCUUCAGAGGGGGACAACAGUUGGAAACGACUGCUAAUACCGCAUACGAUCUAAUCUCGGCAUCGAGGAUAGAUGAAAGGUGGCCUCUACAUGUAAGCUAUCACUGAAGGAGGGGAUUGCGUCUGAUUAGCUAGUUGGAGGGGUAACGGCCCACCAAGGCGAUGAUCAGUAGCCGGUCUGAGAGGAUGAACGGCCACAUUGGGACUGAGACACGGCCCAGACUCCUACGGGAGGCAGCAGUGGGGAAUCUUCCGCAAUGGACGAAAGUCUGACGGAGCAACGCCGCGUGAGUGAUGACGGCCUUCGGGUUGUAAAGCUCUGUUAAUCGGGACGAAAGGCCUUCUUGCGAAUAGUGAGAAGGAUUGACGGUACCGGAAUAGAAAGCCACGGCUAACUACGUG
Molecule: ribosomal RNA, 510 nt
Filed under: uncultured bacterium
Lineage: Bacteria
Description: partial 16S ribosomal RNA
Rfam family: Bacterial small subunit ribosomal RNA
Source: RNAcentral